AGUGGAUCCUGAGUACGGCGGAACACGUGAAAUUCCGUCGGAAUCCGGGAGGACCAUCUCCCAAGGCUAAAUACUCCCUAGUGACCGAUAGUGAACCAGUACCGUGAGGGAAAGGUGAAAAGCACCCCGGAAGGGGAGUGAAACAGUUCCUGAAACCGUGUGCCUACAAGUAGUUAGAGCCCGUUAAUGGGUGAUAGCGUGCCUUUUGUAGAAUGAACCGGCGAGUUACGAUUUGUUGCAAGGUUAAGCGGAAAAAGCGGAGCCGUAGCGAAAGCGAGUCUGAAUAGGGCGCAUAAGUAACAGGUCGUAGACCCGAAACCAGGUGAUCUACCCAUGUCCAGGAUGAAGGUAAGGUAAUACUUACUGGAGGUCCGAACCCACGCACGUUGAAAAGUGCGGGGAUGAGGUGUGGGUAGCGGAGAAAUUCCAAUCGAACUUGGAGAUAGCUGGUUCUCUCCGAAAUAGCUUUAGGGCUAGCCUCGAGGUAAAGAGUCAUGGAGGUAGAGCACUGUUUGGACUAGGGGCCCUUCUCGGGUUACCGAAUUCAGAUAAACUCCGAAUGCCAUGUACUUAUACUCGGGAGUCAGACUGCGAGUGAUAAGAUCCGUAGUCGAAAGGGAAACAGCCCAGACCACCAGUUAAGGUCCCCAAAUAUAUGUUAAGUGGAAAAGGAUGUGGGGUUGCUUAGACAACCAGGAUGUUGGCUUAGAAGCAGCCACCAUUGAAAGAGUGCGUAAUAGCUCACUGGUCGAGUGACCCCGCGCCGAAAAUGUACCGGGGCUAAACAUAUUACCGAAACUGUGGAUGAACCUCUUUAGAGGUUCGUGGUAGGAGAGCGUUCUAAGGGCGGUGAAGUCAGACCGGAAGGACUGGUGGAGCGCUUAGAAGUGAGAAUGCCGGUAUGAGUAGCGAAAGAAGGGUGAGAAUCCCUUCCACCGAAUAUCUAAGGUUUCCUGAGGAAGGCUCGUCCGCUCAGGGUUAGUCGGGACCUAAGCCGAGGCCGAUAGGCGUAGGCGAUGGACAACAGGUAGAGAUUCCUGUACCAGUGCUAAUUGUUUAACCGAUGGGGUGACACAGAAGGAUAGGGAAUCGCACGAAUGGAAAUGUGCGUCCAAGCAGUGAGUGUGAGAAGUAGGCAAAUCCGCUUCUCGCGAAGCAUGAGCUGUGAUGGGGAAGGAAAUUAAGUACGGAAGUUCCUGAUUUCACGCUGUCAAGAAAAGCCUCUAGGAAGAGUAGUACUGCCCGUACCGCAAACCGACACAGGUAGAUGAGGAGAGAAUCCUAAGGUGAGCGAGAGAACUCUCGUUAAGGAACUCGGCAAAAUGACCCCGUAACUUCGGGAGAAGGGGUGCUCUAUUAGGGUGCAAGCCCGAGAGAGCCGCAGUGAAUAGGCCCAGGCGACUGUUUAGCAAAAACACAGGUCUCUGCAAAACCGUAAGGUGACGUAUAGGGGCUGACGCCUGCCCGGUGCUGGAAGGUUAAGAGGAGUGCUUAGCUUCGGCGAAGGUACGAAUUGAAGCCCCAGUAAACGGCGGCCGUAACUAUAACGGUCCUAAGGUAGCGAAAUUCCUUGUCGGGUAAGUUCCGACCCGCACGAAAGGCGCAACGAUCUGGGCACUGUCUCAACGAGAGACUCGGUGAAAUUAUAGUACCUGUGAAGAUGCAGGUUACCCGCGACAGGACGGAAAGACCCCGUGGAGCUUUACUGCAACCUGAUAUGGAAUGUUUGUACCGCUUGUACAGGAUAGGUAGGAGCCGAAGAGACGUGUGCGCUAGCAUACGAGGAGGCAAUGGUGGGAUACUACCCUGGCUGUAUGACCAUUCUAACCCGCCACGCUUAGCGCGUGGGGAGACAGUGUCAGGUGGGCAGUUUGACUGGGGCGGUCGCCUCCUAAAGAGUAACGGAGGCGCCCAAAGGUUCCCUCAGAAUGGAUGGAAAUCAUUCGCAGAGUGUAAAGGCACAAGGGAGCUUGACUGCGAGACUGACAAGUCGAGCAGGGACGAAAGUCGGGCUUAGUGAUCCGGUGGUUCCGCAUGGAAGGGCCAUCGCUCAACGGAUAAAAGCUACCCCGGGGAUAACAGGCUUAUCUCCCCCAAGAGUCCACAUCGACGGGGAGGUUUGGCACCUCGAUGUCGGCUCGUCGCAUCCUGGGGCUGUAGUCGGUCCCAAGGGUUGGGCUGUUCGCCCAUUAAAGCGGCACGCGAGCUGGGUUCAGAACGUCGUGAGACAGUUCGGUCCCUAUCCGUCGCGGGCGCAGGAAAUUUGAGAGGAGCUG
RNAcentral lists this ribosomal RNA (2276 nucleotides) under Listeria monocytogenes. RNAcentral describes it as "partial 23S ribosomal RNA". It matches the Rfam family "Bacterial large subunit ribosomal RNA", at positions 400 to 2674 of the family's 2925-position model. The record is from RNAcentral. Lineage: Bacteria; Bacillati; Bacillota; Bacilli; Caryophanales; Listeriaceae.